AGAGAGAGACAUGCGCGCAUAUCAAUAAGCGGAGGAAAAGAAACUAACAAGGAUUCCCCUAGUAACGGCGAGUGAAGCGGGAAGAGCUCAAAUUUGAAAUCUUAAAGGGUUUCCCUUUACGAAUUGUAGCUUAAAGAAGUGUUUUCUGUUGAGGUUUUGGUAAAAGUUCUUUGGAAUAGGACAUCAUAGAGGGUGAGAAUCCCGUAUUUGACCUUUACUUUCAACUUUGUGAUACACUUUCAAAGAGUCGGAUUGUUUGGGAAUGCAGUCCAAAAUGGGUGGUAAAUUUCAUCUAAAGCUAAAUAUUGGCGAGAGACCGAUAGCGAACAAGUACCGUGAGGGAAAGAUGAAAAGAACUUUGAAAAGAGAGUUAAACAGUACGUGAAAUUGUCAAAAGGGAAGCGUUUGACACCAGUGUUGUUUUUCUGAAAAUCAAUUAAAGAACUGUUUAUGCUAAGUUGUUUAGACUUUAUCAGCUAACUGUUUAGUUUUGAGCUUUUCUUUAAUGCACUUUUCAGUUAACAAGUCAACAUCAAUUUCUUUUGCUGUAAAAAAGCUUGAGGAAGGUGGCUUGAGAUUCGUCUUAAGUGUUUAUAGCCUCUUGCCUAUGCAGUCGGAGAGAUUGAGGUCUGCAGCGUAGAUCCUUCGGGGCUAAAUGCAUUUGUGCUAAGUUAUAACAUUUUAUAGACAACUUGUUGACUAUGAUUUGUCUUGUAGCUUACUCGCUUAUGUUAUUUUACCUACGCUUAGGAUGUUGACGCAUGAGAUAUACGC
Molecule: ribosomal RNA, 774 nt
Filed under: uncultured Neocallimastigales
Lineage: Eukaryota; Fungi; Neocallimastigomycota; Neocallimastigomycetes; Neocallimastigales
Description: partial large subunit ribosomal RNA
Rfam family: Eukaryotic large subunit ribosomal RNA
Source: RNAcentral